AAUUACGCUGGCGGCAGGCCUAACACAUGCAAGUCGAGCGGUAACACAAGGGAGCUUGCUCCUGAGGUGACGAGCGGCGGACGGGUGAGUAAUGCCUAGGGAUCUGCCCAGUCGAGGGGGAUAACAGUUGGAAACGACUGCUAAUACCGCAUACGCCCUACGGGGGAAAGGAGGGGACCUUCGGGCCUUCCGCGAUUGGAUGAACCUAGGUGGGAUUAGCUAGUUGGUGAGGUAAUGGCUCACCAAGGCGACGAUCCCUAGCUGUUCUGAGAGGAUGAUCAGCCACACUGGGACUGAGACACGGCCCAGACUCCUACGGGAGGCAGCAGUGGGGAAUAUUGCACAAUGGGGGAAACCCUGAUGCAGCCAUGCCGCGUGUGUGAAGAAGGCCUUCGGGUUGUAAAGCACUUUCAGUAGGGAGGAAAGGUAAUAGUUUAAUAAACUAUUACUGUGACGUUACCUACAGAAGAAGGACCGGCUAACUCCGUGCCAGCAGCCGCGGUAAUACGG
RNAcentral lists this ribosomal RNA (510 nucleotides) under Shewanella frigidimarina. RNAcentral describes it as "bacterial SSU rRNA". It matches the Rfam family "Bacterial small subunit ribosomal RNA", at positions 33 to 528 of the family's 1533-position model. The record is from RNAcentral. Lineage: Bacteria; Pseudomonadati; Pseudomonadota; Gammaproteobacteria; Alteromonadales; Shewanellaceae.